Bradysia coprophila is the source of this 144-nucleotide long non-coding RNA. The record is from RefSeq and is a predicted model, not a curated record. NCBI's taxonomy places the organism in Eukaryota, Metazoa, Arthropoda, Insecta, Diptera, Sciaridae.
AAAUCUUUUCUCGGCAGAUAAUGUAAGAUUAUGUACUUCUUGCCAAAAUUGUUAUCGAGACGUGUGGUCGAGCUGAUGGCAAGAACCGUAAUGACCACACGUCAAUAUAACAAUUUUGGCAAGAGGUGCAUACACUUUUUUAUC